UACGGGAGGCAGCAGUGGGGAAUAUUGCACAAUGGGCGAAAGCCUGAUGCAGCUAUGCCGCGUGUAUGAAGAAGGCCUUAGGGUUGUAAAGUACUUUCAUCGGGGAGGAAAAACAAAACUAAUAAUUUUAUUUCUUGACGUUACCCGAAAAAGAAGCACCGGCUAACUCCGUGCCAGCAGCCGCGGUAAUACGGAGGGUGCUAGCGUUAAUCAGAAUUACUGGGCGUAAAGAGCACGUAGGUGGUUUUUUUAAGUCAGAUGUGAAAUCCCUGGGCUUAACCUAGGAACUGCAUUUUGAAACUGAAAUACUAGAGUAUCGUAGAGGGAGGUAGAAUUCUAGGUGUAGCGGUGAAAUGCGUAGAUAUCUGGAGGAAUACCGUGUGGACGAAGCGGCCUACCUAAACGGAAUACUGACACUGAGGUGACGAAGCGUGGGGAGCAAACGAGGAUUAGACUACC
RNAcentral lists this ribosomal RNA (459 nucleotides) under uncultured bacterium. Its description in RNAcentral is "bacterial SSU rRNA". It matches the Rfam family "Bacterial small subunit ribosomal RNA", at positions 340 to 787 of the family's 1533-position model. The record is from RNAcentral.